CUAGGUUUGACAUGUACUGGAAGACUACCAGAAAUGGUGUCGCCUUCGGGCCGGUACACAGGUGCUGCAUGGCUGUCGUCAGCUCGUGUCGUGAGAUGUUGGGUUAAGUCCCGCAACGAGCGCAACCCUUGCCAUUAGUUGCCAGCAUUUAGUUGGGCACUCUAAUGGGACUGCCGACGUUAAGUCGGAGGAAGGUGGGGAUGACGUCAAGUCCUCAUGGCCUUUAUAUCUAGGGCUACACACGUGCUACAAUGGACGGUACAGUGGGCAGCAAAGUCGCAAGGCGAAGCAAAUCCCAAAAAACCGUUCUAAGUUCGGAUUGGAGUCUGCAACUCGACUCCAUGAAGCUGGAAUCGCUAGUAAUCGUGAAUCAGCACGCCACGGUGAAUACGUUCCC
RNAcentral lists this ribosomal RNA (397 nucleotides) under uncultured soil bacterium. Its description in RNAcentral is "bacterial SSU rRNA". It matches the Rfam family "Bacterial small subunit ribosomal RNA", at positions 975 to 1375 of the family's 1533-position model. The record is from RNAcentral.